UUCAAAAAAUUUUAUUCUCAUUCUUCAGUUUUAACUAAGAUGAACUUAGUCGUCACAUAUUGGUUCAUAAUUGGCUGACAUAAAGAACCAUUGAUACCUAAAAUGAGAUGUUGAUUUUCAUGAUUGAUGCUUUGGCUGGACAGGAAACUUUUCUUCUUAUCUAUCAAAAUUUUCCUGAUAGUUUGUAUGUGGUAAUUAUAUUACGGAAAAACCUG
Molecule: long non-coding RNA, 215 nt
Organism: Xenia sp. Carnegie-2017
Lineage: Eukaryota; Metazoa; Cnidaria; Anthozoa; Malacalcyonacea; Xeniidae
Exons: 2
Source: RefSeq, a predicted model, not a curated record